This 18-nucleotide small nuclear RNA is filed under the name Arabidopsis thaliana (thale cress). Its description in RNAcentral is "snRNA_01282". The record is from RNAcentral. Lineage: Eukaryota; Viridiplantae; Streptophyta; Magnoliopsida; Brassicales; Brassicaceae.
AGGUUUGAAUCCGGAGCG